CCCACGGUCUUCCUCCGCAGCCGGUUCACGAUGCGCACAGUGCAAUAGACGAGGAUGAUGAAGGGGAUGAUGAUCUGAGUGAAGUAGACGAUCUGAAAAGAGAAGUGACUUUGAGUAUGACACCCAACACAGAAAAAGAACACUAAUGGACCUACAGACAGGCCUCGGGGUCACAUUACAUGUCAAUGAGCUUAUAUCUGAAACAACAUAUAUGUCCAUCCUGUGGACAUGCCUUCUGGAGCCAUUUGGAGUCAGGAUUUUGAGCUCCCAGUUUUCCCAGAGUCCACUCCUCCGUCAGAAGGAGGCCUGAGGAUCGUCGUCCUGUCUCCACAUGUCGCUGCCACGAGACAGAGGGGAUCAGACAGAGGACAUGAAGAGGGUCUGCAAAGGAGAUACCAUCCUCUCUGACAGAGACAUGAGAAAUCAAGACAAAAGUCUGCAAAAACUGGAAACCAGUAAAGUCCAGGCAGCAGGAGAUGCUGAUUGGUCUGAAGUUGAACGUCAGCUGAAGGCUCUGAUGAGAGGCGACUGAGGAAGAAACUCAGUCACACCACAGCGCCAUCUAGAGGACAGAAGAUGUUCUGCACACAGCCUGGAGGGACAGUCGGAGGUAAAACACACUGUAUGAUCUUAUCUUUAGUCACAAAUCAUGUAGCAGACAGUUUAAUAUCUUAGGCACGUUGUACAAUAAAGAAGACAGCCUAUACAAAUCUUAGAGUAAUGUAUAAUAGGAAUGUGUGUAUAAUAAUCAACUUGUCAAGGCUAAUGCUAAAUAUGUUGUAUUAUAGUCAAAGGAAUUCAUAUGGGAAAACUAGUGAAAAUAAAGACAUGUUUUUUUCAGA
Notothenia coriiceps (black rockcod) is the source of this 842-nucleotide long non-coding RNA. RefSeq lists it as uncharacterized. The record is from RefSeq and is a predicted model, not a curated record. NCBI's taxonomy places the organism in Eukaryota, Metazoa, Chordata, Actinopteri, Perciformes, Nototheniidae. The transcript is spliced from 4 exons.